RNAcentral lists this transfer RNA (73 nucleotides) under Ictidomys tridecemlineatus (thirteen-lined ground squirrel). RNAcentral describes it as "Spermophilus tridecemlineatus (thirteen-lined ground squirrel) tRNA". It matches the Rfam family "tRNA". From Rfam's summary of the family: Transfer RNA (tRNA) molecules are approximately 80 nucleotides in length. Their secondary structure includes four short double-helical elements and three loops (D, anti-codon, and T loops). The record is from Rfam by way of RNAcentral. Lineage: Eukaryota; Metazoa; Chordata; Mammalia; Rodentia; Sciuridae.
CAGGAUAUAGCUCAGUUGGUAGGGUACUUGCUUUGGAUGCAGAAGGCCCUGGGUUCAAUUCCCAGCAUCAUCA